GGUGUGUAUAUAUACAUAUGUAUGCAUAUACCUGUGUGUAUAAAUAUGUAUGUUAUAUAUAUAUGCGUAUAUAUAUAUAUAUAUAUAUAUAUAUAGUGGCCAAAACUCUUACACUCUUAUUAUCUGUUGACUUCAUGUUUUUUCCUCUUCAUUAUGUUUGUAAUCAAUUUCAAAAGUUUUGUUGAUUUUUUACCUAUGUUACUUCAAAAUUGAUAUAUUGUUCAAUCUAAAACAGAUAUUAAUAAAAUUAAGGCUGUAUAAAUCUGUUAUUGAAAGUAAAAUCGUGAUUUCUGUACUUCCUGUUCAUUAGCCAAUCAACAUUGUAACAGGAUCAUUCCUCUUUAAGUAACUAAUUAUUGUUGAAGCCCAAUCAUACUAGUUUCAGAGGUUGCCUAUCAUUGAUCAACGCUCUCAUUAUUUCUCGUAACUACUCAAUCAUUGAUAGUAAAGUAUUGAAUUUGCCUUCUUCACAUGUUCAGAAUAAUUGGACACCAUCUAAGCUAGUGGUUGUCAACUGGAGUCUACAUGACCCUGGGGGUGGGGAGGCAUGAAAAAAUUUGUCUUUAGAUGUUUUUACAGCAAGAAAAAUCUAUUUCUUUCUCUAAUGUUUGUAAAACAAAAUAGGAAUUUUGAAAGAAGUAUCUGUAUAAAUAGUUUUUAAACAUUGAGUAGAUAUGGGGGUUCACCAGUGUAAAGUAGUGAUGAAAGGAGUCCAUAGGUAAAAAAAAAAAACUGGUUGAGAACCACUGAUCUAAGCAAUGAAUAGAUCCUUUGAGAAUAAGUUUACACCUUUCAACAAAUAACUAGAAACAUUGUAGAACAUGGAACAAAAUGUGGCAUAAAAAAGUUUGUAAACACUUAUAAAAAAGUUGAAACUGUGGAAACUGCCAAACACAGCGAGUAGCCUAACCAACAGAUGCCAUCUCUUACUGAUCAUUGGAAGACAUCAGAAAAAAUCUUGCAAACAUUAUCAGCUUGAGGUCAGACCAAGCAAUAGAAGUAUGAGGUACAAACUCUUUAAUUUAAAACAAGACUGUCAAGAAAUGUAAUAGUGUGGUUUUAUAUCUAGUAGAAAUUGUAGCCAUAUUGAAAUUAUAAAUAGAAAUUUAAAUUUAAAGAAACUAUUUUUUGAAUGAAGUUGACAUACUUUCUCAUAAUUCAAAUGAAGCAAUUUUUCAGGUUGACAGCAUCCCCAUAUCAUUGAGCGAAAUCCAGUAUGAAAUGGUUGAAGACCAUUAAAUAAACGUUUUUACAAUGGAUUGUAAAGAACCUCAACCUUAACCUGAUAAAACAUUCAUAAUCAAGAAUGUAGACCAAUAUCAGUUUUCAGUUUGGAAAACUCAGUUGAUAGAAGCUAACAUAAUAUUGUUCUGAACACUAAUACUUAUUGUUAUACAGUACACUAAACUAUUUUGCUUUAUAUGGUGCUUCAGGUACUUGACAUUAAUGCAUUUUGCAAUAUUUAAAUGUCAAUGUUGCUUUAUUCAGUUGAAGAACAAUAUCCAUUUUAAAGUAACUUAGGUUACAGAACCAUAAAGUAUUCUUAGAAGACAGGAAGGAAAAUUAUUAUAAAUAGGAAAUGGGCACAAAGUCAACAAGCAACAACUAUGUAAGAAAAUGUUCAGAAUUUUGGCUACUGUGUGUGUGUGAGUGUAAAAUAUAUAUAGUGUAUUAAUAUGCAUGUUAUAUAUGUGUGUGUGUGUGUGUAUAUAUAUAUAUUGCAUACUGCUAACAGCAUAUGCAGAUUGCAAUCAACUGAAGGGUUCUGGAGU
Octopus sinensis (East Asian common octopus) is the source of this 1772-nucleotide long non-coding RNA. RefSeq lists it as uncharacterized. The record is from RefSeq and is a predicted model, not a curated record. Lineage: Eukaryota; Metazoa; Mollusca; Cephalopoda; Octopoda; Octopodidae. The transcript is spliced from 2 exons.